AUGUGAACGUUACCAAACUGUUGCCUCGGCGGGGUCACGCCCCGGGUGCGUCGCAGCCCCGGAACCAGGCGCCCGCCGGAGGAACCAACCAAACUCUUUCUGUAGUCCCCUCGCGGACGUAUUUCUUACAGCUCUGAGCAAAAAUUCAAAAUGAAUCAAAACUUUCAACAACGGAUCUCUUGGUUCUGGCAUCGAUGAAGAACGCAGCGAAAUGCGAUAAGUAAUGUGAAUUGCAGAAUUCAGUGAAUCAUCGAAUCUUUGAACGCACAUUGCGCCCGCCAGUAUUCUGGCGGGCAUGCCUGUCCGAGCGUCAUUUCAACCCUCGAACCCCUCCGGGGGAUCGGCGUUGGGGAUCGGGACCCCUCACACGGGUGCCGGCCCCGAAAUACAGUGGCGGUCUCGCCGCAGCCUCUCCUGCGCAGUAGUUUGCACAACUCGCACCGGGAGCGCGGCGCGUCCACGUCCGUAAAACACCCAACUUUCUGAAAUGUUGACCUCGGAUCAGGUAGGAAUACCCGCUGAACUUAAGCAUAUCAAUAAA
This 541-nucleotide ribosomal RNA is filed under the name Trichoderma asperellum. Its description in RNAcentral is "eukaryotic LSU rRNA". The stretch from base 160 to 313 matches the Rfam family "5.8S ribosomal RNA". The record is from RNAcentral. Lineage: Eukaryota; Fungi; Ascomycota; Sordariomycetes; Hypocreales; Hypocreaceae.